Molecule: ribosomal RNA, 253 nt
Filed under: uncultured bacterium
Lineage: Bacteria
Description: partial 16S ribosomal RNA
Rfam family: Bacterial small subunit ribosomal RNA
Source: RNAcentral
UACGAAGGGGGCUAGCGUUGCUCGGAAUUACUGGGCGUAAAGGGCGCGUAGGCGGUUUGUACAGUCAGGUGUGAAAUUCCCGGGCUCAACCUGGGGGCUGCACUUGAUACGUAUGGACUGGAGUGGGGAAGAGGGUCGUGGAAUUCCCAGUGUAGAGGUGAAAUUCGUAGAUAUUGGGAAGAACACCGGUGGCGAAGGCGGCGACCUGGUCCUUGACUGACGCUGAGGCACGAAGGCCAGGGGAGCAAACGGG